This 572-nucleotide long non-coding RNA is filed under the name Carica papaya (papaya). RNAcentral describes it as "long non-coding RNA (CPAP_LNC011665)". Lineage: Eukaryota; Viridiplantae; Streptophyta; Magnoliopsida; Brassicales; Caricaceae. The record is from RNAcentral.
CCACUUGCUCUUUCGUUCUAUGAGCUUCCCAGUAGAUUAGUUCUCUUUUCUCACAAUCUUCUUGCCCUUGUAAAAAAUAUCUUCUGAGCCAUCUUCAUUCGCUGGUCUCCAAAAUCCCCUUUGAUCCAGGCACAAUAUCAAUGGCGUCUAGUCCAAGUGAAACCUCUCUUCUUGUACAAAAGUACCUGCACGAAUCACUCGCCUGCCGUAUAACUGCAUGCGCCAAAUAUUUGGUUUAUUAUUAAACGUCAUAAAAUCUUUUAUCUUUUAUAGAUUCAAUCAGAAAUUCAUGAUCAAGAAAAGAAAAAAAAACGAAACAAAAGAUCAAGUGUCUCACAGGAAUAUUCUCGUGGAUGCGACAAUUUGUCAAUGCCUUCCGUAUGCAUCAUUGUGUAGGGAAAUUGUAGCCUCAUCAUUUUGGGGUUCAAGUAAAUGGCAAUUUUCUGAUCAUCAGUUAACGAUUCCAUGGUCGCUCUGCUUCAAGAAACCGAGACAAGACUGCACAAGGUUUAAUAUUUUCUUGGAGACGAAGACUGGUCCUCUUUAUAUACACUUGCCUCUUAACAACUUAC